GGCAAUUCUCAGGUGAUGCACCCUGGAAUCGGGCUCCCUCCUCUCGGGUUCUGGGUGCGUCACCCGAGAACUGCA
This is a non-coding RNA of Myotis brandtii (Brandt's bat), 75 nucleotides long. The record is from Rfam. Lineage: Eukaryota; Metazoa; Chordata; Mammalia; Chiroptera; Vespertilionidae.